This 834-nucleotide ribosomal RNA is filed under the name uncultured bacterium. RNAcentral describes it as "bacterial SSU rRNA". It matches the Rfam family "Bacterial small subunit ribosomal RNA", at positions 79 to 912 of the family's 1533-position model. The record is from RNAcentral.
CUUGCUUCUCUUGAGAGCGGCGGACGGGUGAGUAAUGCCUAGGAAUCUGCCUGGUAGUGGGGGAUAACGUCCGGAAACGGACGCUAAUACCGCAUACGUCCUACGGGAGAAAGCAGGGGACCUUCGGGCCUUGCGCUAUCAGAUGAGCCUAGGUCGGAUUAGCUAGUUGGUGGGGUAAUGGCUCACCAAGGCGACGAUCCGUAACUGGUCUGAGAGGAUGAUCAGUCACACUGGAACUGAGACACGGUCCAGACUCCUACGGGAGGCAGCAGUGGGGAAUAUUGGACAAUGGGCGAAAGCCUGAUCCAGCCAUGCCGCGUGUGUGAAGAAGGUCUUCGGAUUGUAAAGCACUUUAAGUUGGGAGGAAGGGCAGUAAAUUAAUACUUUGCUGUUUUGACGUUACCGACAGAAUAAGCACCGGCUAACUCUGUGCCAGCAGCCGCGGUAAUACAGAGGGUGCAAGCGUUAAUCGGAAUUACUGGGCGUAAAGCGCGCGUAGGUGGUUCGUUAAGUUGGAUGUGAAAUCCCCGGGCUCAACCUGGGAACUGCAUUCAAAACUGACGAGCUAGAGUAUGGUAGAGGGUGGUGGAAUUUCCUGUGUAGCGGUGAAAUGCGUAGAUAUAGGAAGGAACACCAGUGGCGAAGGCGACCACCUGGACUGAUACUGACACUGAGGUGCGAAAGCGUGGGGAGCAAACAGGAUUAGAUACCCUGGUAGUCCACGCCGUAAACGAUGUCAACUAGCCGUUGGGAGCCUUGAGCUCUUAGUGGCGCAGCUAACGCAUUAAGUUGACCGCCUGGGGAGUACGCCGCAAGUUAAAACUCAAUGAAUUG